RNAcentral lists this long non-coding RNA (1107 nucleotides) under Marmota monax (woodchuck). The record is from RNAcentral. Lineage: Eukaryota; Metazoa; Chordata; Mammalia; Rodentia; Sciuridae.
CUGUGUGCAGACACUAUUCUAAGUUCACUGUGUAAAUUCACUUCUUUAAUUCUGCCAACAGAGAAAUGAUAUUUUAUAGAUGAUAAAACUGAGAUAGAGUUUGAUAUAGCUUAGUAGGUCCUAAAUUUGGAUGCAUAUCAAAAAUUGCCCCAUGCUAUAGCUUGGAUCAGGAAUGUCCUCCAAAGGUCUGUGUGUUAUGGAGGCUUUGUCCCUAACUUGGCAUUUCUGGGAGGUGGUGGAACCUUUAAGAGGUGGAGCCUAGUGGGAGGUCUUCAGGUCACUGGGGGUGUGUUUUGGAAAGGGAUUGUGGGACCCCAGCCCCUUCCUUCUUUCUUUUGCUUUCUGGCCAUGAGAGGGGUGGAAUAUGUUUGGCUGCAUGUUUCCUGCCGUUAGAGACAGGGUCAACCUCCCAUGGACUGAAGUCCUCCAAAAGUAUGAGCCAAAAUAAACCUUUCCUCUGUAUAAGUUUCCAAUCUCAGGUUAUUUUUUACAGUAAUGGAAAGCUAACUAAUGCACCCAGGAAACUUAUUAAAAAUUAGAAGUGACAGAUGACAUCCAGCUCUGCUGAAUUAAGCUCUCCAGUCUAUGGGGCCUGGGAGUGUAGAGAUUUAAUAAGCUCCUCAGGUAAUUUUGAUGCAGCCAACCCAGCACCCUUAAAUGAACUAAUAUUUGGGAAACCCUUACUUGAUUUUGGUGAUGAGACUGAGGUUCAGAUUAGGAGUUGACCAACCCAUAGCGACUUGGCAAGCUCCGUGGCAGAUUUAAAAAAAUCAAAGGACAGCCGGGCAUGGUGGCACAUGCCUAUAAUCCCUGCUACUCGAGAGGCUGAGACAAGAGGAUUGUGAGUUCAAAGCCAACCUCAGCAAAGGCGCUAAGCAACUCAUUGAGACCCUGUCUCUAAAUAAAAUACAAAAUAGGCUCAGUGGUUGAGUGACCUUGAGUUCAAACCCUGGUACACCCCCUGCAAAAAAAAAAAAAAAGAAGAAGAAGAAGAUCAAAGGACAGCACUUUCUACCCAGACCUGCUUUCAUGUUGAAGGUCAAAUGGCUGAUGAUGUGUUGACUUGUUCUUCCUGAGAGCCAUCUGAAGCCACUUCUUAUUAGAUAA